CCUACGGGGGGCAGCAGUAGGGAAUAUUGCUCAAUGGGGGAAACCCUGAAGCAGCAACGCCGCGUGGAGGAUGAAGGCUUUAGGAUUGUAAACCCCUUUUGUUAGAGAAGAUUAUGACGGUAUCUAACGAAUAAGCACCGGCUAACUCCGUGCCAGCAGCCGCGGUAAUACGGAGGGUGCAAGCGUUAUUCGGAAUCACUGGGCGUAAAGGGUGUGUAGGCGGGGUAAUAAGUCAGAUGUGAAAUCCUGUAGCUUAACUACAGAACUGCAUUUGAAACUGUUACUCUGGAGUGUGGGAGAGGUAGGUGGAAUUCUUGGUGUAGGGGUGAAAUGCGUAGAGAUCAAGAGGAAUACUCAUUGCGAAGGCGGCCUGCUGGAACAUUACUGACGCUGAUGCACGAAAGCGUGGGGAGCAAACAGGAUUAGAUACCCGAGUAGUC
This 440-nucleotide ribosomal RNA is filed under the name uncultured bacterium. Its description in RNAcentral is "partial 16S ribosomal RNA". It matches the Rfam family "Bacterial small subunit ribosomal RNA", at positions 338 to 795 of the family's 1533-position model. The record is from RNAcentral.